RNAcentral lists this ribosomal RNA (402 nucleotides) under uncultured bacterium. Its description in RNAcentral is "bacterial SSU rRNA". It matches the Rfam family "Bacterial small subunit ribosomal RNA", at positions 355 to 774 of the family's 1533-position model. The record is from RNAcentral.
UGGGGAAUUUUGGACAAUGGGCGCAAGCCUGAUCCAGCCAUGCCGCGUGAAGGAUGAAGUAUUUCGGUAUGUAAACUUCGAAAGAAUGGGAAGAAUAAAUGACGGUACCAUUUAUAAGCUCCGGCUAACUACGUGCCAGCAGCCGCGGUAAUACGUAGGGAGCAAGCGUUGUUCGGAUUUACUGGGCGUAAAGGGCGCGUAGGCGGCGCGGUAAGUCACUUGUGAAAUCUCUGAGCUUAACUCAGAACGGCCAAGUGAUACUGCAGUGCUAGAGUGUAGAAGGGGCAAUCGGAAUUCUUGGUGUAGCGGUGAAAUGCGUAGAUAUCAAGAGGAACACCUGAGGUGAAGACGGGUUGCUGGUCUAACACUGACGCUCAUGCACGAAAGCGUGGGGAGCAGACA